UCGGGAGGCCCAGAGUAGGGAAUCUUCCGCAAUGGACGAAAGUCUGACGGAGCAACGCCGCGUGAGUGAUGAAGGUUUUCGGAUCGUAAAGCUCUGUUGUUAGGGAAGAACAAGUACCGUUCGAAUAGGGCGGUACCUUGACGGUACCUAACCAGAAAGCCACGGCUAACUACGUGCCAGCAGCCGCGGUAAUACGUAGGUGGCAAGCGUUGUCCGGAAUUAUUGGGCGUAAAGGGCUCGCAGGCGGUUUCUUAAGUCUGAUGUGAAAGCCCCCGGCUCAACCGGGGAGGGUCAUUGGAAACUGGGGAACUUGAGUGCAGAAGAGGAGAGUGGAAUUCCACGUGUAGCGGUGAAAUGCGUAGAGAUGUGGAGGAACACCAGUGGCGAAGGCGACUCUCUGGUCUGUAACUGACGCUGAGGAGCGAAAGCGUGGGGAGCGAACAGGAUUAGAUACCCUGGUAGUCCACGCCGUAAACGAUGAGUGCUAAGUGUUAGGGGGUUCCGCCCAUUAGUGAAAACG
Molecule: ribosomal RNA, 520 nt
Filed under: Bacillus subtilis
Lineage: Bacteria; Bacillati; Bacillota; Bacilli; Caryophanales; Bacillaceae
Description: bacterial SSU rRNA
Rfam family: Bacterial small subunit ribosomal RNA
Source: RNAcentral